Molecule: transfer RNA, 85 nt
Filed under: Felis catus (domestic cat)
Lineage: Eukaryota; Metazoa; Chordata; Mammalia; Carnivora; Felidae
Rfam family: tRNA
About the family: Transfer RNA (tRNA) molecules are approximately 80 nucleotides in length. Their secondary structure includes four short double-helical elements and three loops (D, anti-codon, and T loops). Further hydrogen bonds mediate the characteristic L-shaped molecular structure. tRNAs have two regions of fundamental functional importance: the anti-codon, which is responsible for specific mRNA codon recognition, and the 3' end, to which the tRNAs corresponding amino acid is attached (by aminoacyl-tRNA synthetases). tRNAs cope with the degeneracy of the genetic code in two manners: having more than one tRNA (with a specific anti-codon) for a particular amino acid; and 'wobble' base-pairing, i.e. permitting non-standard base-pairing at the 3rd anti-codon position.
Source: Rfam by way of RNAcentral
GCCUGGGUGGCUCAGCCGGUUAAGCAUCUGACUUCGGCUCAGGUCAUGAUCUCACGGUUCGUGGGUUCGAGCCCCGCGUCGGGCU